RNAcentral lists this ribosomal RNA (1371 nucleotides) under uncultured bacterium. Its description in RNAcentral is "bacterial SSU rRNA". It matches the Rfam family "Bacterial small subunit ribosomal RNA", at positions 28 to 1381 of the family's 1533-position model. The record is from RNAcentral.
GAUGAACGCUGGCGGCGUGCCUAAUACAUGCAAGUCGAGCGAACGGACGAGAAGCUUGCUUCUCUGAUGUUAGCGGCGGACGGGUGAGUAACACGUGGAUAACCUACCUAUAAGACUGGGAUAACUUCUGGAAACCGGAGCUAAUACCGGAUAAUAUUUUGAACCGCAUGGUUCAAAAGUGAAAGACGGUCUUGCUGUCACUUAUAGAUGGAUCCGCGCUGCAUUAGCUAGUUGGUAAGGUAACGGCUUACCAAGGCAACGAUGCAUAGCCGACCUGAGAGGGUGAUCGGCCACACUGGAACUGAGACACGGUCCAGACUCCUACGGGAGGCAGCAGUAGGGAAUCUUCCGCAAUGGGCGAAAGCCUGACGGAGCAACGCCGCGUGAGUGAUGAAGGUCUUCGGAUCGUAAAACUCUGUUAUUAGGGAAGAACAUAUGUGUAAGUAACUGUGCACAUCUUGACGGUACCUAAUCAGAAAGCCACGGCUAACUACGUGCCAGCAGCCGCGGUAAUACGUAGGUGGCAAGCGUUAUCCGGAAUUAUUGGGCGUAAAGCGCGCGUAGGCGGUUUUUUAGUCUGAUGUGAAAGCCCACGGCUCAACCGUGGAGGGUCAUUGGAAACUGGAAAACUUGAGUGCAGAAAAGGAAAGUGGAAUUCCAUGUGUAGCGGUGAAAUGCGCAAAGAUAUGGAGGAACACCAGUGGCGAAGGCGACUUUCUGGUCUGUAACUGACGCUGAUGUGCGAAAGCGUGGGGAUCAAACAGGAUUAGAUACCCUGGUAGUCCACGCCCUAAACGAUGAGUGCUAAGUGUUAGGGGGUUUCCGCCCCUUAGUGCUGCAGCUAACGCAUUAAGCACUCCGCCUGGGGAGUACGACCGCAAGGUUGAAACUCAAAGGAAUUGACGGGGACCCGCACAAGCGGUGGAGCAUGUGGUUUAAUUCGAAGCAACGCGAAGAACCUUACCAAAUCUUGACAUCCUUUGACAACUCUAGAGAUAGAGCUUUCCCCUUCGGGGGACAAAGUGACAGGUGGUGCAUGGUUGUCGUCAGCUCGUGUCGUGAGAUGUUGGGUUAAGUCCCGCAACGAGCGCAACCCUUAAGCUUAGUUGCCAUCAUUAAGUUGGGCACUCUAAGUUGACUGCCGGUGACAAACCGGAGGAAGGUGGGGAUGACGUCAAAUCAUCAUGCCCCUUAUGAUUUGGGCUACACACGUGCUACAAUGGACAAUACAAAGGGCAGCGAAACCGCGAGGUCAAGCAAAUCCCAUAAAGUUGUUCUCAGUUCGGAUUGUAGUCUGCAACUCGACUACAUGAAGCUGGAAUCGCUAGUAAUCGUAGAUCAGCAUGCUACGGUGAAUACGUUCCCGGGUGU